This 371-nucleotide long non-coding RNA is filed under the name Monodelphis domestica (gray short-tailed opossum). Its description in RNAcentral is "lncRNA (ENSMODG00000049628.1)". The record is from RNAcentral. Lineage: Eukaryota; Metazoa; Chordata; Mammalia; Didelphimorphia; Didelphidae.
GUCAUCUUCAGGAAUGUUCUUCAGGAGGUGACUUGGGACUUGGACUUCAACUUUGACUUGGGACCGUGGCUCUUGGACUAUUUCUUGGGUUCUGUCUCUCCACAAUUCAUUGUGAGGCAUUGUAUGUGUGAUUGUUUUGAGGCAGCUUUGGACAAGCUUGGAAUUUUCCAACAUACACCAGGAGUAAGUAGGUAUCAAAGUUGAGGUGCUGACAAGCAAAGGAAUAACAUUUUUGGGAAGAAAAUAUUCUUGGGAAAAAUGGGGUAGUGAAAUAAUCAGGAAACCUAAAUAGUUCUAGGUAAGGAAACAGGAAUUUAUAUAAUGCCUACUAUGUGUUACACAAUUUAAUUUAAUCAAUAUCAUCUCACUUG